Enhydra lutris kenyoni (northern sea otter) is the source of this 330-nucleotide long non-coding RNA. RefSeq lists it as uncharacterized. NCBI's taxonomy places the organism in Eukaryota, Metazoa, Chordata, Mammalia, Carnivora, Mustelidae. The record is from RefSeq and is a predicted model, not a curated record. The transcript is spliced from 3 exons.
GAUGACUCCGUGACUAAACUGCCAUAUUACACUGGGGAUGGUGAGGACCACACUGACUUUCAACCUGCUCCAGCUCAGAAGACUGAUGCCCCUAGUGAGGACUAUGAUAAUGCUGAAGAGGUCCCAGGGCCUGAGGCUCCUUUUGCCUCCUGGAUGAACGAGGGGGAAGUGCCCCCAGGGGAGGAGAAUGUGGUGAGGGCCUCUCCAACAGGCUCUUCUCUACAGUUCUACAGAGGGGUAGCUGGUCCUGGGAAAGAAGAAACUAGUUCCUGGUUGCUUCAGGGGGAAGAGAGGGAUCCUGGAUAUGAUGACGUUGAACUAAAUGCCCCU